UGGGACCGUUCGGUCGUGUUUUUCUAAACUCGCUUCAUCCUUCGGUCUAACCGCGUUGUGUGCUUGUUAGGAGUGUUUCAGGCACUCAGGUUUUUUGGCCUGCCCGCUGGACUCACCGCUGCUGCUAUCAACUCCUCGUGCUGUUUUGCCCAGUUAUUCUUACUUUGUUUUGUGCUGAUCUCCUUUCUUAUCAGUGAGCAUAUCUCGUCGUUCUGAGUGUUUGCGUGCACUGCCAGCCCGUCGCCGUCAGCUUUCGCCGUUUGUAUUCCUUUAUCAGGAAGCUUUUGUCCUUCUGUUCUUUUCAUUUUUUUUUUCUCGGUCGCGGUUUGUUUUUGCAGAGGAGAUCUGUUUUGUGUUUUGAAUUAAGUGCGCCGAGAGGAGCAGGCAGCUAUUGUAAUCUCCCGUAUCCAGCAGCUAUAUCAGGCAGAGUCAUUCCGUGAUUGGAAAUUCAACCGAACCGUAGAGAAGAGAUCGUUUCGUGCAAAUCUGAAAUCUAGUGAAUCGACCCGAGAAAGCGAAGAAAUUACUGAAUCCGAGUGGUUUUAUGAAUAAUGUGAUGCAAUAAAUCCUACCAACGUGAUACGUAUACCCAUUUGUGGCAAGUGCAAUGAAAAAGAAAUAAUCCAUCUCGAAGUUGCUGUGUUUCCGAGUGCAUACCGCUGAUGGUGUACAUCUAGUUUUGUAAUGUUAGCAACUAUGCUUUGAACGUGAGAGAAAAAAUCAAUCAACGCCCCCUACUUCCAAGGAACGAAUCCGUUCCGUGACCAUUACCGUUCUGCUUCGCAAUCAGCCAAGAAGAGAAGCCUUUAUCGUCGCAAACAGUCAGCAGAUUGAAACAAAAUCAUUCGCAAUGUCAUCGAACGGCGGAUUGUCCUUGUCCUUGACAACCGCCCACCGACCUUUGCUCCAGCGUCGCCGAAAUGGCAAAAGACUUUUCACUAAGCCUUCGUCCUUCGGGUCCCGAACCAUUUUCCCCAAACCCUACCCCGGUCCCGUCUCGAUCCCGGUGCUUUUGUCUUUGCUAUUUCUAAUCAGUGAACCCUUCUGCCAUGCUUUGCAACUGAAUCAAACGCUAAUUACGCGGAAACAUCAGCAGCAUCAACAUCAGCACCAGUCCUACACGAUAGACGAGCUGCUGGCGGCCAAGUUUCCGACCAGAAUCUCCAACGAUAUCGAUAUGGAUCCCUGCAAGUCAAGUGGCUUCUUGGGAGAUAUCGCACUGCCAAACAUAGACUACGAAACCGAGUGGCAAAAACAAAGACUGAAUAAAACCUUCCAACAAGAGCUGGAAAAACUCAAACAAGAAGUCUACCACGAGGGGCUGCAAGUGGAGGAGGAAGGUCUUACCGACAUAAUUCGAAAGAAAACGAAACAACUGUCGCCUGAUUUGAACGUAGCCACCAAACAGCCAAGAAAAAGUCUCAACGAAGCAUCGGUUUACGCUUCGAGCUCGCAACCGGUUGACCAUAAAUCACUUAAUCAAAUCUCGUAUAACGACAAUACAAUAAUUGACAGCCAAAGCUAUGGAGAAUCGCACAUAAAGGCGACAAUCAUAGAUAACAAUGAUAACAUCAUCCUUCGGAACACUUCCACCGCCACUCAUCAAGUGGAUCCUCAAGGCGGCAAGUCGGAAGCCACUUCAUCGACGUCGAAUGGUUCUGACAGCGACAGCAGUGCGACCAUCAUCAAGAAAAAGAAAAACGCCAAAACAGCGGAUGCCCGCCACAUUGACCAUAACCGCAUCCAGUCCGACACAAAGGACAUCGUUAUCGACGAUUCGAGUGAUAACAUAAUCAGCAAUAAUCAUGCGAGCAGGAAGACUGCCGCGUCGAGAGCACUUUUGACAUCAACCCCAACCACAACGUCGAAACCCGCCCGCACUACCCAGGCCAAUCGUUUCAGCAAUGCUGGUGGCAACGGCCGAACCUUGGAAGACGUGCAAGUUCUGAAUGGCGAUGGGAGCAUUACGGCCCACAAGCGACACCACAGAAGACGUCGGCAGGGAAAUGGGCGCAAAAACGGCAACACCAGCGCCACUAUUGACACAACUGAUAUCGACAACAGAUCGAAGAAAAAACCACUCGAUGCAAAUUUCGAUUCGUACAAGGCCCGCCUGGAACGACUAAAGACCGAUUUGGGCAAUCCGACCCUCUCCGUGAAUGAUUCCAAUUUGAAGCGGUCCAAAAACAAACCCAAGUCCCAUUCCGGCGGCAAAAAAGUCCCCAAAGACAAGCAAACCGCAAGCAGAAACAAACCGGUAGCGGAGAAAUAUUGGGACGGUAAGGUCGGCGGCGGAAAGGGGGACUCACGUGGCCCGACAAAGGUCCGGAAAAUCGACAAAGCAAACGAAGGAAAACCACCCAAACGGCAUUCGGCAACCCGCAUUCUGGACGAUAUUAUUAUCGAGGAGAAACGGCACGGCGCUGGGAGGCAGAGCAACGAAGGCGAAUUGAUAAGGGACACCAAGGGAAAUGUAGUUCGGUCGUCAUUCCUGGAGGCUCACAUGGUUGCCGAAGAAGGUGGCGAACUGCAUUCCUCUCAACAACAACCUGUUGAUGCAGCAAGAAACCAUCCGGCCUCGGCAUCCCAUCACCGUGUGACUCGUGCUGCCACCGCCAAAAAGGAACGCAUCUGGGAUUUUGGCGUCAUUCCGUACGAAAUCGAUGGCAACUUCAGCGGACUGCACAAGGCGCUGUUCAAGCAGGCAAUGCGUCACUGGGAAAACUAUACGUGCAUUAAAUUUGUCGAACGCAAUCCGAUCGACCAUCCCAACUACAUCGUGUUUACCGAGCGCCAGUGCGGCUGUUGCUCGUUCGUGGGAAAGCGCGGCAACGGACCGCAGGCCAUCUCGAUUGGGAAAAACUGCGACAAGUUUGGCAUCGUCGUUCACGAGCUGGGUCACGUCGUUGGCUUCUGGCAUGAGCACACCCGGCCGGAUCGCGAAAACCACGUCGUCAUCGAGAAGAACAACAUAAUGGUCGGCCAGGAGUACAAUUUCAACAAGUUGACCGAAGACGAGGUGAAUUCGUUGGGACUGCCGUACGACUACGAUUCGAUCAUGCACUACGCGCGAAAUACGUUCUCGAAGGGAACCUAUCUUGACACGAUAUUUCCGAUUGAAAUUCCCAGCCGAAAGCGGCCCGAAAUCGGUCAAAGGCUGCGACUGAGCGAGGGAGACAUUGCCCAGGCGAAUCUGCUCUACAAAUGUGCCAAGUGCGGCCGCACGUUCCAGGAAAAUUCAGCCUCGUUUACCUCACCCAGCUACUACUCGAUAGUGCCACCCAGCGAGCCGGAAAGAUGCGAGUGGCGUAUAACGGCCACGCACGGCGAGCGAAUCGUGCUCAACAUCACCGAUCUGGACAUCUUUAAGUCGAACAACUGCCGGUCGGACUAUUUAGAAAUUCGUGACGGUUACUGGCACAAAUCACCGAUUCUCGGUAAAUUCUGCGGCUCAGGAAAAGUGAACGAUUUAAUAAAAUCAACCGGCAGCCGGAUGUUGCUGACCUACACCACCACAUUCCGACAGAUCAAUAUGCGAGGUUUUGCCGCCAGCUACGAGGCGGUUUGCGGUGGCAAUGUCAAUUUGGAGAGCGGUGGCCGGCUCGAGUCGCCCAACUAUCCGAUGGACUACCUUCCGAACAAGGAGUGCAUUUGGAAAAUCACCGUCCCGAAGGACUACCAAGUGGCGCUCAAGUUCCAAUCGUUUGAGGUGGAAAAUCACGAUAACUGUGUGUACGACUACGUGGAGGUGCGGGACGGCGAGUCGGCCGAUUCCCGCAUCAUUGGAGUGUUUUGCGGCUACAAAAUUCCACCGGAUAUGAGAUCAUCCACAAACAAAAUGUUUGUAAAGUUCGUGUCCGAUGGGUCAGUGCAGAAGGCCGGGUUUUCAGCCACCUUCAUGAAGGAAGUGGACGAAUGCGAACGAAUGGAUCACGGAUGCGAGCACGAGUGCAUCAACACGUUGGGCGGAUAUGAGUGCGCUUGCUACAUCGGAUAUGAACUGCACAGCGAUAAGAAGUCAUGCGAAAAUGCAUGCGGUGGAACAUUGAAGCAGCACAACGGAACAAUCCUUUCACCCUCAUUCCCGAACGAGUACCCCAUACUAAAGGAAUGCGUGUGGGAAAUCAUUGCCCCGCCACAGCAUAAAAUUACUCUCAACUUCACGCACUUUGAACUGGAAGGCAACACCUUCUACCUGGCUUCGGAAUGCGAAUACGAUUCCGUAGCCGUCUAUUCAAAACUCAACGAAGACUCUCUGAGACGGCACGGCGUGUUCUGCGGCAACAAAAUACCGCCAACCAUUACCUCCGAAGGGAACACCCUGCGGGUAGAGUUCAAGUCGGACAAAACCAUUCAGAAGUCCGGCUUUGCAGCGAUUUUCUCCACCGACGUAGACGAAUGCGCCGUCAAUAAUGGGGGCUGCCAGCACGAGUGCAAGAAUACGCUCGGCUCGUACGUAUGCUCGUGCCACAACGGUUACACCUUGCAGGACAACGGUCACGACUGCAAGGAAGGCGGCUGCAAGUACGAGGUCUCCUCACCAAACGGACAAAUCUUCAGCCCAAAUUAUCCGGACUACUAUCCACCGAAGAAGGACUGCGUGUGGCACUUUACGACAACGCCAGGUCAUCGGAUUCGAUUGGUGUUCAACGUAUUCGACAUCGAACCUCACCAGGAAUGUGCCUACGACCAUAUCGUCAUCUAUGACGGCGAUUCGCCAGAAAGUUACGCAUUGGGGCGAUUCUGCGGAGCAAAGUUGCCUCAUCCACUGUCAUCCACGUCCAACGAAAUGUACAUGGCCUUCAACACGGACUCGAGUGUCCAGCGAAAGGGAUUCUUCGCGAGCCACUCUACGGCCUGUGGUGGUCAUCUGAGGGCAACCAACAAGGUGAAACAUAUCUAUUCGCACGCCAAGUUCGGCAUGGGCAUGUACGACAAUGGCGCAGACUGCGAGUGGUCGAUCGAAGCGGACAGCAACAAAAACGUCCAGCUGAAGUUCCUGAUGUUUGACGUCGAAGAAGAGCGCCACUGUUCGUACGAUUACGUCGAAGUGUACGGAGGUCUGGAUGACUCCAGUGGGCCAUUGCAUGGAAAGUAUUGCGGCAACAGUAACCCUCCAGAGAUCAUAUCAAUGGACCAAGCCUUGCUGGUACGGUUCCGCUCAGAUGACACGGUCGGUUUCAAGGGCUUCUCCGCAUCCUACGUCGCGAUCAGCCCUUUUGGGAAGGGCCAAUCGGAGGACGACGAGAUCGUGGACAGCGCCGAGAUAACGCCGUUUCCGGGCUCGCUCAAAAACUCCGUCAUCAAGGCGGACGAGGACGUGGACGAGGACGAGGACGUCGAUUACGAAAUCAUCGCCCAGCAUCGGCACCUGAAUCCGAAGGUGCGCUACGCAGUGCGCAACGACAUACGAUCGUCGCAGGCGAUCGACUGAAAUAGGCGUAGACGCGUCGGUAUCCGACGCAAGAUACACGUGCGUACGCAGCGGCCGUCCUAGUCAGUAGCGGUGGCAGUUCUGUACGCACGAAAUUGAAGUAACUGUGAUGUCUGACGACCGUGACGGGUUUGGAUGUUUUGAAAUGCUGAUAACAUUGGAAAACUGUUUCAAAUGUCUUCGUCGUGGUUAGUAAAUGUGAGUGCACUCAAAGCCUAGUUAGAUCAGUUUUGUUGCUUCGCUUGAAGUUUUUUUUAGUUAAUUCGUGUCUGUAAAGAUGAAUUCUUUACACUUCAACGUCCCAGCGUCUCGGGGUUGACACAAUAUAACAAGAUACGGUUUUCACUGAGUGGUUCCCUAGACCCAUACGUUUGUAUCGGUUUGUAGGUCAUGCGAGAAUGCCUUGAAGAAUAGAGCUACGGAUCAACCAGCGUAACAAUGGACUUUCCAUGUGUGACGUCUAGCGAAUCAGCCCCAUUCUGGACAAUAGAAACACGCUGGAUCAACCUGUGUGGCCUCGUGCCAUCGGAAAAGGACCAGCCAAAUACGCACUUUGGCACUUUCUUUACGCACACAUAAAUAAAUCCAACAUUUAAGUUAAAAAUACUUUCAGAUAAGAAAAUUGCAUAAAAAUAACUCUCAAAACUGUGAUAGAUUCUUUUUAAUCACUCUUUAUCCAUUAUCAUAAUCCACUAAAUUGAUUUUCAACAAGGUGUUGACUGUGCUCGCAUCCAUCAUCACUAGUUUCAGAAACUAGGUACAAUGAAGCACAAACAUAUUUUCCUUUUGCGAGCACUACUCGCGCUCAACAUAGUUUUGUGUUUUUUUUACGCACUGAGUACCACGCUCAAAAUGUUUUAGCGAUUUGGACACGCACUGAGCACUUUUGCGAGCACCAAUCGCGCUCAACAUGUUUUAGCAAUUUUUCACACGCACUUAGCACUUUUGUGAGCACCACUUGUGGCUCAAAAUGUUUUAGCGAUUUGCAUACGCACUGAGCUCUUUUGCGAGCACCACUCCCGCUCAAAAUGUUUUAGCGAUUUGGAUACGCACUGACCACUAAUGCGAGCAUUACUCGCGCCUAAAUUAUUCUAGCGAUUUUUCACAUGCACUGAGGUUUUUAGUGAGCACCACUCGCGCUCAACAUGUUUUAGCGAUUUUUCAAGCGCACUGAGAACUUUUGCGAACAGCACCCAUGCUUUUUUGUAGUUUCUUUGGGAUUUUGAUGAUCAAAUUUCGCAUCCAGUAUCGCACUAUACAUGGUGUUCAAUAAGUUCGAAUACACUUUCAAAAAAUGUUUAAAAAUUGAGAUUAAAUUAUUUCUUUUCCCGGCUCCAUUUCAUUUACAGUAUUGUUUAUAAGGACCGUUUGUAACAUUUCUUUUGGAAUGACCUCUAUUUUGUACUUCUUCACGAGCUUCAAACGUUACUAAAACUUAUCGCAAGCGGCACGCACGGUCUGCAUUGGCAUUUCGUUCCAGAUUUUAAGAAUUACGUCUUGAACUGGUCCAAGUUACUGACCUUGUAUUCGUACAGCCUCAACAUAAUAAUGGACCAAACAAGCAAGUUAAGAGGGCAAAUCCGGGAAGCUGGGAGGUCGCAAAGUUUUGUUCAAAAAGUCGAUGAAGUUGUCCCCAUAUAAGGCUUAAAUCGCAUUUUACUUAUAUUUUUAAUAAAGGGUUAUCGUCCUAUUGGAACACGUAGGGCUGAUCUCCGUCUUAUCACCGGGCCACUGGGGGUAUCAAUCGUCCCCAAAACCUCAGUUUUGUAGUACACCGCAAUGAUUUUGACCUUCAAAAACGGCUAUUUACGAUGCCCCAAUCCAUUUUCAACGCGCGUAAUAAACAAACAACAAGUGACAGAAUGUCAACACCACACACAUUCGUUAGUGUAUAUAUACCGCUAACGCUGACACCAAUACUAAUACAGAAUAUGUACAUUGGGCUUACAAACACAAUUAUCAAACAUUUGUAUUCGAACUUAUUGGACACCGUGUAUGUAAUUCUACGUUCAAAUUACAGUCGUAUGUUUGAUAUAACCCUCUACUUUUUUAUUUAUUAACUUUGAUCGGUUCAUCCUUUUCCGAUACGGAGUUUAUUAAUUUAAAAAACAGCCCCGUGCCAUCGGAAAAGGAUCAACCGAAUACGUUGGACAAUUGUCGGGGACAAAAAAGUACUUCAGGGUCGUCCGUAGCUAAUCAGGGGAAAAACUGGUUGCUUAGCAAACGUGUUAUAGGUCAAGGCCUACUGACGCUCAAUUCAAAUUAUGCCGCGUUGGCACGGUUGCGCAUGGCGAGUGACGUGAGACGUAAGAUUGAUAAGAUAGAUAUCGGCAAUGGAUAUUAUGCAUAUUAUACACUGCCAAACGAGAAUUCAAAUAACUAUAAAAUCUUGCUUAACUUUUAAAAACACCUAAGUAACAUUUUUUUCAUGAAUUAAUUUGAGUAGUGCAUUCAAAAGCUUUCAUAUUGGUCUGUUGAUUGCAAUAUUAAAAUUAAUUCGUGAAAAAAAUGUUAAUCAGGUCUUUUUGAAAAGUUAAUCGAGAAAUCAUGGCACACACAACCAACGUUACGAAGACCGUCACAAAUGUAAUUUCAAGUGGAAUAUCCCCUUGCUCUUUAGCGAGCAAGCGAUCCAGUUGACCCGGCCCACCCUAACAGCCAUUUUCAAUGAUGAACAUGCUAAGAAUGGAGACCUGGUCAAAACGUGUUUUGCAUCCGCACAUCCGAGUGGCGAGCUGCGAAGAGAUCUGCCGACGGAAUCCAGGAGUAAGGAGCGGGGGCCAUUCGCUGGAGGUGCUGGAAUCUUGAAGCAACGCAGCUGCUGUUGCCAGUCGCUUGUGCACGGUGUAACGCUUGUAACGGUGGGAGGAUUGGAAUCGCUCGUCGGGGAGCCACCAUGGCCGGAUAGCUCACCUCGUUGAGUGCAAGAACUUGGUUCUUCUUUGGUAGGGUCCUGGUGGAAGCCUUCUUCCGGAUUUCCAGGAACUCCGCUCGCUUUGGGCAGCCUUUUGUGGUGGUCCGAUGGUUGUUGCCAUAGUUGGCGCACUUGGGAUCGGUCAUCUCAGUUCCUGCUGCUGUGCCCGAAUUUGAAGCAGUAGGUGUAUUGCGUGACGUUGCUGUGCACUGCCCGAAAUCGCUCCCAAUCAACGACGGUGUAACUUAUAAAGCCGACUAGCGCCGGUGGAGCCGUGCUCCAGCUAGAUCAGGUUAAGGUCACUCCUCACGGAAUCCAAACUUCAAAGCUCUCGCGUUGUCAAGGUCACACCACUCGAUACGGAAACAACGCACAACUGUCAUUUUUAUUAUUUCACGCAUGCUGCGAUGCAGCAAAAUCAAAACAACAAAAAUGACAGUUGUGCGCCGCCUCCGUUUCGAGUGGUGUACCCCCGAAAACGCGAGCACUUUGAAACUUGGAUUCCGUAAGGAGUGUCCUUAAGCUGGUCGCGAUAUCUCCUCGCUUUGUCGUGACGAGCGAUUUUGUGCACGGCCACUGGCUUUAGUUCUCGCGAUCUGCUUGGAGCUCUUCCUCCUUCAGGCCUCACAGCAAAGCCUUGAGUGUCUUCGUACAGUAGACGUUCGAUAACUGCAAGUCAUUUAACUGCAAUGCUUUUUAACUGCAAUUCGAUAGUUGCAACAGUUUUGCAGUUAUCGGACCGCUAAAACUUCAAACUGAUGUCAGACUCAAUGACAGCUGCAUUGCGCUGCACAUUUAGAUGCACUUUUAUUGCAUCUGACGUCGAUUGACAACCGUUUGACGUCUAGAAUGCGUUGCAGUUAUCGAACGGCAUUCGUUAACUGAAAAGUAAACAUUUUGCAGUUAUCGAAUGACUACUGUACCGGAAUGGUCAUGGGUGUAGUACUCAUAAUUGUAGACCUCAGGGAACUCCACGACGGAUUGAUGGUGGUCCUUAUUUGCCGGCAUCACUUUCACGCCCUCAGUGCAGAGCCGAAAUGUAUUUUUCAGCCCCUUAGCAAUCAGCUUGCAAAUUCUCGGGCGAAAAUCCACAAACACAGGCGGGCUCUUCUCCUUCCGCUCAGAUUGCACCUGCGGCAGCUGCAAUUGUUGCUUCCUUCUCUUCGUUGGGUUGUCUGUGUCGUCAAUUGGCAAGGACGAAUAUAUGUUGCUCUGCAAAAGCAGGGGUGGCAUUGCGCAUCUCGAUUCGAACGUAAUUCUAUCGAGUCGAACAUGUUUGGCAUUACGGUUUUCGAUUUGAUCUCGAAAACGACUCUUCGUUCGAGUAUGCUUGAGGAGGUACAAGAAUAACGAGAUGUUUUGGCAUUAUGGAUACUCGAUAGCACACUGAAAAACGACUCAAGUCGAAUGAAAAGCACUCGUCACCUUCAUAGCUUUCGAAUGUUGUUCGAGACGAGAGUCAGAAAGUUUUUCAUCAUAUUUGUUAUGCAAUCUCUAAUUAUUCCGAAAUCCGCGUAAAAACGACUUCAACUUAAAUCGGUUUUAUGCAGUUUUCACGUAUUUCUUGACGAUUUCGAUAAACCGCGUAAAACAUCUAUAAGAAAAAUCUGCGUAAAAACGUGUAUAUUCCAAGAUCUACGUAAAAAUAGUUGAGUUAAAUAAAAAACGCGCAGGAGAUGACCCAAGUGCAUUUAACUAAAACACAUGGAAACAUCAAAGUAAUUUAUUAUCGAAUCCUUCUUUAGCUUUAAAUUAUUUAGCUCAAAGUUGGAUCUAUGCCAUAAACUCGAAUAAACAUAAAACUUGUAAUUUGUGUCGUAACUACAGUGAUCGUUCGCUAAUUGGGGCACGACCCAGACAACCACACAUCGCAUAAGAAUAAAGUGACCAGAUAUAUUUUGUGCCAGCGCGGGACAAUUUUUUUUAAAUCCUUGUUUUUAUCCAAAAACGUGCCUAAGUCAAAACUUUAAAAUUUGAUAAAGCCCUCUGGGACUCGCUUGGUCCUGGAUCAAUCACGCAAUCCCACCUCUGUUGUGAAUGAAUCUGGUCAACUUUUUACAACGGUGAAAAUUCCUGAAGGUUAAACUUAUUUGUAUUGAUAAGAAAAUUAUUUUGAGCUUUUUAAUGGAAUGUCUUCACUUAUGACAAGUGUUAUUUGUAUUGGUUACAUGAUCCAUUUUGCUAACAUUCAAAGUGAUCGUAUUAUUCGAUUUAUACAAUUAGGUAGGGCGCUCAAAUUUACUUAAAAUUCCUACAUCUUACACCUCGGGAAUUUGGUGCGCGGAUUUUUCCUCCAUGUAUUUUUGCAUAUGCGAUGUUUUCGAGAUUUGAGCACGGAAAAUCAAAAUCCCGGCCCCAUUUACAAUGCACGAGGACCAAAAUCCGGUGAAAAAUUUUCCCGAGGU
Armigeres subalbatus is the source of this 10753-nucleotide RNA transcript. It is a transcript of the gene named protein tolkin-like, with no coding region annotated. The transcript has 13 exons. Lineage: Eukaryota; Metazoa; Arthropoda; Insecta; Diptera; Culicidae. The record is from RefSeq and is a predicted model, not a curated record.